This 497-nucleotide ribosomal RNA is filed under the name uncultured bacterium. Its description in RNAcentral is "partial 16S ribosomal RNA". It matches the Rfam family "Bacterial small subunit ribosomal RNA", at positions 28 to 507 of the family's 1533-position model. The record is from RNAcentral.
GACGAACGCUGGCGGCGUGCCUAAUACAUGCAAGUUGAGCGCUGAAGGUUGGUACUUGUACCAACUGGAUGAGCAGCGAACGGGUGAGUAACGCGUGGGGAAUCUGCCUUUGAGCGGGGGACAACAUUUGGAAACGAAUGCUAAUACCGCAUAAAAACUUUAAACACAAGUUUUAAGUUUGAAAGAUGCAAUUGCAUCACUCAAAGAUGAUCCCGCGUUGUAUUAGCUAGUUGGUGAGGUAAAGGCUCACCAAGGCGAUGAUACAUAGCCGACCUGAGAGGGUGAUCGGCCACAUUGGGACUGAGACACGGCCCAAACUCCUACGGGAGGCAGCAGUAGGGAAUCUUAGGCAAUGGACGAAAGUAUGACCGAGCAACGCCGCGUGAGUGAAGAAGGUUUUCGGAUCGUAAAACUCUGUUGGUAGAGAAGAACGUUGGUGAGAGUGGAAAGCUCAUCAAGUGACGGUAACUACCCAGAAAGGGACGGCUAACUACGUG